RNAcentral lists this unclassified non-coding RNA (653 nucleotides) under Helichrysum oreophilum. RNAcentral's name for it is "partial external transcribed spacer". The record is from RNAcentral. Lineage: Eukaryota; Viridiplantae; Streptophyta; Magnoliopsida; Asterales; Asteraceae.
AUGUGUUGUUGGUGAUGACAUUCACCUCGAGGUGAUGCGGUGUCAUGUUACCUGUGUAUCCUGGUUUCUAGCUAUUGAGCUUAAAACAUGUGGAUUAUCGGUUAGUGACACGGCAUCGCUCCCUUGGUUGAUGAAAGUCAUCCAAUGAUGCAGUGGCUUGUUUGUUUUGUUCUCGCAUCGCUCGGUGCAUUCUGUGGUCAUUUUGGCUGUUGGUGGCUUGCUUGGCAAUUAAGCUUGGUGGGUUGCUACUGGUUGGGUGUCUACGGGGAUGUCUACCGUAAAGGUGCAUGAGUGGUGUUUGGUUUGUUACGGGUGGUUGGCUCUUUGCUUGCGCAACAACUUCCACCCGGCAUACCUCUUCAGUCUUGUGUCAAUGCUUGUAUUGCAUUGAAUGCACGGCGGGUUUCUUGUGUUGCAUGCCUAAUUAAUGGUAUCGUUUGAUGAAUUGGUUUUCCUUUCGUCUUGCGUCGCCUAUGCGAUGUGAGAUGAACCUUGAAGCAGCCUUUGUGAUCCUCUCUUUUGAUGCAUACGCAUUGAUUUUGUGGCCCAUUGAGUGUUGCUUGGUCUCAUGGAUAUGGAACAUGGUGUGGGCUUGGAAUCGUAAUGGUUCCUUGUUUGCCCAAGUUUAGCUUUUCUAAAACGAUUGUCUAUCA